Molecule: ribosomal RNA, 448 nt
Filed under: uncultured bacterium
Lineage: Bacteria
Description: bacterial SSU rRNA
Rfam family: Bacterial small subunit ribosomal RNA
Source: RNAcentral
GCCAGACUCCUACGGGAGGCAGCAGUGGGGAAUAUUGCACAAUGGGGGAAACCCUGAUGCAGCAACGCCGCGUGAGUGAAGAAGUAUUUCGGUAUGUAAAGCUCUAUCAGCAGGGAAGAAGAUGACGGUACCUGAAUAAGAAGCCCCGGCUAACUACGUGCCAGCAGCCGCGGUAAUACGUAGGGGGCAAGCGUUAUCCGGAUUUACUGGGUGUAAAGGGAGCGCAGACGGCAGUGCAAGCCAGGAGUGAAAGCCCGGGGCCCAACCCCGGGACUGCUCUUGGAACUGCGUGGCUGGAGUGCAGGAGGGGCAGGCGGAAUUCCUGGUGUAGCGGUGAAAUGCGUAGAUAUCAGGAGGAACACCGGCGGCGAAGGCGGCCUGCUGGACCGUAACUGACGUUGAGGCUCGAGAGCGUGGGGAGCAAACAGGAUUAGAUACCCCCGUAUCA